CCUACGGGCGGCUGCAGUGGGGAAUAUUGCUUAAUGGGCGAAAGCCUGAAGCAGCAACGCCGCGUGAACGAUGGAGGCCUUCGGGUCGUAAAGUUCUUUUAUGUGGGAUGAGGAAGGACAGUACCACAUGAAUAAGUCUCGGCUAACUACGUGCCAGCAGCCGCGGUAAAACGUAGGAGACGAGCGUUAUCCGGAUUUACUGGGCGUAAAGAGCGUGUAGGAGGCAUCACAAGUUGGAUGUUAAAGCUCCCGGCUAAACUGGGAGAGGUCGUUCAAGACUGUGGAGCUAGAGUACGAGAGAGGUAAUCGGAAUUCCGGGAGUAGUGGUGAAAUGCGUAGAUAUCCGGAGGAACACCAGAGGCGAAAGCGGAUUACUGGCUCGAAACUGACACUGAGACGCGAAAGCCAGGGUAGCAAACGGGCUUAGAUACCCGGGUAGUC
This 441-nucleotide ribosomal RNA is filed under the name uncultured Anaerolineaceae bacterium. RNAcentral's name for it is "bacterial SSU rRNA". It matches the Rfam family "Bacterial small subunit ribosomal RNA", at positions 338 to 795 of the family's 1533-position model. Lineage: Bacteria; Bacillati; Chloroflexota; Anaerolineae; Anaerolineales; Anaerolineaceae. The record is from RNAcentral.